This 391-nucleotide ribosomal RNA is filed under the name uncultured bacterium. Its description in RNAcentral is "bacterial SSU rRNA". It matches the Rfam family "Bacterial small subunit ribosomal RNA", at positions 28 to 416 of the family's 1533-position model. The record is from RNAcentral.
GACGAACGCUGGCGGCGUGCCUAACACAUGCAAGUCGAGCGAGUGGAUCUCCUUCGGGAGUGAAGCUAGCGGCGGACGGGAGAGUAACACGUGGGCAACCUGCCUCAUAGAGGGAAUAGCCUUUCGAAAGGAAGAUUAAUACCGCAUAAGAUUGUAGCUUCGCAUGAAGUAGCAAUUAAAGGAGCAAUCCGCUAUGAGAUGGGCCCGCGGCGCAUUAGCUAGUUGGUGAGGUAACGGCUCGACCAAGGCGACGAUGCGUAGCCGACCUGAGAGGGUGAUCGGCCACAUUGGGACUGAGACACGGCCCAGACUCCUACGGGAGGCAGCAGUGGGGAAUAUUGCACAAUGGGGGAAACCCUGAUGCAGCAACGCCGCGUGAGUGAUGACGGCC